This 228-nucleotide ribosomal RNA is filed under the name Triticum aestivum (bread wheat). Its description in RNAcentral is "partial small subunit ribosomal RNA". Lineage: Eukaryota; Viridiplantae; Streptophyta; Magnoliopsida; Poales; Poaceae. The record is from RNAcentral.
AGUGUGCAGCGCUUAAGGGAGAAAGAUUUCAACAUCCCGCCAUGUUGGUGUGGAGAUGUUUGCAAGGUGAAGGUGUCCACCGACCAAAAGAAAUCAUGGACAGAAGGGCGGAGAUAUUUUGUAUGCCCAAACUAUGCUUAUGAUCGUGCACUUCCAACUAAUGCCUAUGACCAACCACCGGUAAGCUCGAGAAGUAAAAUGUCACUCUCAAAUGUGUGUCAACACUAA